RNAcentral lists this ribosomal RNA (344 nucleotides) under uncultured bacterium. Its description in RNAcentral is "bacterial SSU rRNA". It matches the Rfam family "Bacterial small subunit ribosomal RNA", at positions 335 to 670 of the family's 1533-position model. The record is from RNAcentral.
ACUCCUACGGGAGGCAGCAGUGGGGAAGUAUUGCACAAGGGGAAAGACCCUGAUGCAGCCAUGCCGCGUGUGUGAAGAAGGCCUUCGGGUUGUAAAGCACUUUCAGUCGUGAGGAAGGUAGUGUAGUUAAUAGCUGCAUUAUUUGACGUUAGCGACAGAAGAAGCACCGGCUAACUCCGUGCCAGCAGCCGCGGUAAUACGGAGGGUGCGAGCGUUAAUCGGAAUUACUGGGCGUAAAGCGCAUGCAGGUGGUUUGUUAAGUCAGAUGUGAAAGCCCGGGGCUCAACCUCGGAAUUGCAUUUGAAACUGGCAGACUAGAGUACUGUAGAGGGGGUAGAAUUUCA